This is a non-coding RNA of Pyrenophora teres f. teres 0-1, 99 nucleotides long. The record is from Rfam. Lineage: Eukaryota; Fungi; Ascomycota; Dothideomycetes; Pleosporales; Pleosporaceae.
UCCGAUAUGGUCUAGUGGCUAGGAUUUGCCGCUCUCAAGCAGAGUCAGCUCACUGUAACACGUGCCGGCAAGGCCCGGGUUCGAUUCCCGGUGUCGGAA